GAACUGCUCGCCGCCGCCGCCGACUCCCCGCCCCUUGUCGCCGCCGCCGCACUCGCCCCCGCCCCCUGUCGCCGCCCACUCGCCUCGCCCGCGCCCCCUGCCACCCCCACCCGCAUCGACGCCGCCUCAUCCCACCGCACCCGCGUCGCCUGCCGCCUCCCCUCCCUCGCUCCAGCCGGUGGGGGGGUGGUGGGUGUGGUGAGUUGCUCGCGCGCGCAACCAGGGAGAAGAGGGAGUUGGGCGUGGCGGCGGCCGACGGGGGACGAGGCUCUCUGCUACGUGCGCGACAGAGAGGAUUUUUGGUGUUGCCUCCGGUGGAAUGAUAGUUGACGUUGGAGCUCUUGGUCUUCGACUGUCCCUUCGUUGAUCGACUACAUCAUCUACAUCCGAGGGUUGUUCCUCGUUGGUGCUAUGGAAGGCAUGACGGAUGGGCGGGUUUGGUGGAUAGGUGGCUCGGCGACGAUGCAGAGUUUGGUGCCAAGAGCAUCAAGGGCCGGGCUAACCGUGGAAAAGACGGCACACACGGCCAAGGAAACAAGAACCACUGGGGCUUCAAGGCCAUGAAGGAAGACAAGUUGAAGAGGCCGCUCUCAGACAUUGAGUCGUGGAAGCUGGCCUGCGAGCGGAGUGAUCGCGAGGAUGGCGAGAGCCAAUACUACGGCAAGACCGAGGAGCACCUGGAGUCUUACACUCAGAACUAUCAGAAGUUGCAUCCGGAUGUUCCUGUUCCUGAGGUCGCCCAGUCUCAGAUCGACGACGCGGCGGUGGUGGCCAUCCAGGGGAAGUCACAUGGCCGGUAUCCGUGUUUCGAUGGCUUGAUGACUCCUUCGAUCUCGUACACACGGCUUCGGGCUACCAACCAGAGCCAGUUAGAGAGUACGAUGUCGAUGAUGAUAGCCGUGCAUGUGGCCGUCGUGCCAUACUUUUAUGUUCAUGAAUGUUUCAUGUCUUGCACUACUUAUAUGUUCAUGAACUUUCGCCGGUGAUGAUCUUUAGAUGAUGAACUUGACUAUGUUUAAAUGAUGAUGAUGAACUUGAGUAUGUUUAGAUGAUGAACUGUCAUAUUUCUGCAUAAUCCCAUAUUAUUCUGCUUUGAAA
This is a long non-coding RNA of Aegilops tauschii subsp. strangulata, 1098 nucleotides long. RefSeq lists it as uncharacterized. The record is from RefSeq and is a predicted model, not a curated record. Lineage: Eukaryota; Viridiplantae; Streptophyta; Magnoliopsida; Poales; Poaceae.